RNAcentral lists this ribosomal RNA (192 nucleotides) under uncultured soil bacterium. Its description in RNAcentral is "partial 16S ribosomal RNA". It matches the Rfam family "Bacterial small subunit ribosomal RNA", at positions 26 to 217 of the family's 1533-position model. The record is from RNAcentral.
AGGACGAACGCUGGCGGCGUGCUUAACACAUGCAAGUCACGGGGGCUCCGCAAGGAGUAACCGGCGAACGGGUGCGUAACACGUGAACAACCUGCCCUCGUGUGGGGGAUAGCCGGGCUAACGCCCGGGUAAUACCGCAUACGUUCUCUUGGGGGAGUCCCCGAGGGAGGAAAGCCCGUGGCAACACGGGCG